RNAcentral lists this ribosomal RNA (452 nucleotides) under Sadayoshia actaea. RNAcentral describes it as "partial 16S ribosomal RNA". The stretch from base 326 to 452 matches the Rfam family "Bacterial large subunit ribosomal RNA", at positions 2473 to 2600 of the family's 2925-position model. Lineage: Eukaryota; Metazoa; Arthropoda; Malacostraca; Decapoda; Munididae. The record is from RNAcentral.
UAACUGUGCAAAGGUAGCAUAAUCAGUAGUUUUUUAAUUGAAGGCUUGUAUGAAGGGUUGGACAAAGAAUAAUCUGUUUCUGAUUUUUUUUUUGAAUUUUACUUUUAAGUGAAAAGGCUUAAAUAUAUUUAAGGGACGAUAAGACCCUAUAAAUCUUUAUACUAAAUUGUUUUUUAAUAAUUAAUUUUAGUAAAUAAUAUAAUAAAAUGAAAAGUAUUUUGUUGGGGUGAUGAAAAUAUAUAAUUAACUGUUUUAAAAUUAAAACAAAGUUGUUUGAAGGUAUAAUUGAUCCUUUAUAGAGAUUGAAAGUUUAAGUUACUUUAGGGAUAACAGCGUUAUUUUUUUUGAGAGUUCUUAUCGAAAAAAAAGUUUGCGACCUCGAUGUUGAAUUAAAAUUUCUUUAUGGUGCAAAAGUCAUAAAAGAGAGUCUGUUCGACUUUUAAAAUUUUACG